AACGCACAUUGCGCCCGCCAGUAUUCUGGCGGGCAUGCCUGUCCGAGCGUCAUUUCAACCCUCAAGCACAGCUUGGUGUUGGGGUAUUGCGGUCUGCUGCAAACCCUGAAAAACAUUGGCGGGCUCGCUAUAACUCCGAGCGUAGUAGUAUAUCUCGCUAGGGACGUUAGGCGGGUGCCGGCCGUUAAACCCCCCAUUCUUUAAGGUUGACCUCGGAUCAGGUAGGAAUACCCGCUGAACUUAA
This 244-nucleotide unclassified non-coding RNA is filed under the name uncultured fungus. Its description in RNAcentral is "partial contains 5.8S ribosomal RNA, internal transcribed spacer 2, and large subunit ribosomal RNA". The stretch from base 1 to 52 matches the Rfam family "5.8S ribosomal RNA", at positions 103 to 154 of the family's 154-position model. Lineage: Eukaryota; Fungi. The record is from RNAcentral.